RNAcentral lists this long non-coding RNA (564 nucleotides) under Mytilus galloprovincialis (Mediterranean mussel). The record is from RNAcentral. Lineage: Eukaryota; Metazoa; Mollusca; Bivalvia; Mytilida; Mytilidae.
GGCCUGAUUAAUGUACAAAACAAACAAAUGGACAAAACAAUUGCAACGACUUGAUUUAUGUACAAAACAAACAGCAAUUAACCUGUGUACAUUACUAUAUUUGGCAACAUUUUGUUCAAGGUUAUGGUUGUUUUUGUGAAAGUGUUUAACAUAUCACCCCUUGUUUUAUUGAUUUUGUAUUUACAUUGUCUUAUAGAUCAAAUAUAUUUGUUCAGUGUAUAUUCAUUUGUUUGUGUUAAUAUGUCUUUUGAUCGAUUUAAGACAUUUCAAUUUAUAUUUUAUAGUGUGUCUUACUAUUUUGGGAUGUUACACUAUUGUUUCAUGUAAGGGUGAAGGUUGGUACCUAUUAAAAAGUUUAAACUGGCUGCAUUUGUUUGCACCUGUCCAAAGUCAUGAACCUGAUUUUCAGUGUUGACAUUUGUUGAUGUGGUUUAUAAGUGUUUCUUGGUUUUGAAGCUCACCUGGCCCAAAAGGCCGAGUGAACUUUUCUCAUCACUUCGCGUCAGUCGUCCAUGAACUUUUACACAAAUCUUCUAAUCUGAAACUACUGGGCCAAAUUUAACC